Molecule: long non-coding RNA, 6724 nt
Filed under: Homo sapiens (human)
Lineage: Eukaryota; Metazoa; Chordata; Mammalia; Primates; Hominidae
Description: non-protein coding lnc-PDYN-2:2
Source: RNAcentral
GUUUCCAUGGCUGCGGGCGGCGGGGGGAGCAGCAACGGCGCUGCCCGGGCCCCCCCUGCCUCAUCCCUCCGUCCGGCCCUGGGACGCGGAGGAGCCGGACCUUGGAUUGUGACCUGCGGGCGAAAGAAUCGGUUAAACGGCCAGGCCAAGGCGGGGAGGCCAGGAGCGUAGGCCGCGGGGCGUCCCACCUCCUCCUCCCCCGGCCGCCGCGGCCCCUUUAAGACGGAAGCCACCGCCGCUGAUUGAACGGGGGAGGGGAGGGGAAAGCGGGAAAGACCGAACCACUGGGCAGCAGCUCAGAGGGGGAACCGGAAAGAAAAGCACAAACUCUCCGCUCUCUCUGUUAGCUUGUCAUGUAGCGAUAGGAAAAAGAAGAGCCAGCAAGCUUCACGCCUUCUGAAAACCGCUUAGAGACGCGAUUUGGCCGGCGGAAAUAUUUUUCUUUGCUUGGCCCCCUCUGUGACGCUCCUCCCCGCGCCCCGCCUUGUGUUCGCCCGGGUGUAAACAGUCCAUUGAAUUAAGCCCUAGCGGAGCCCAGCGGACCGACCCAAGUCCCCGAGGGCGACGGGUAGAAGGGAUUGGCUGAAAAGUUCGGCUUCUCGGAGUGCGACUGGCCGAGGACCCGAUUUCCCUUCCCAAGCGCGGAGGCAGUGGCAGUAACUCCAGCCUCGGCGCUGGCCUUCAGUCCUCCAACGGCGCCCUUACCUGGCCCGCGCACCUCCACUUCCGGGCGGCCCGUUUCCCCCCUGGAGCCCCUGCCUGGGGAUGGUCCGCUCCGGGCCCGGGCUGCCUCCGGGACCGAGCAGCGCGGGAGGUGGCGGCCCGAGCCCGGCGUGUAGCGGAUCCUUCUGCUGCCGCGGCGCUCGCUGGGGAAGCCUGGGCUCCUAGGCUCCCGUGGCUUUCCACGUGUUCGCGCCAGCUGAGCCCUUUACAUAACCUCUUUACAUAAGCUGCACCUCCCGCCGGCGCCCGGGCCAGCGGAGACUCCUGGUGGCCCAUCCCCCGGGACGCCAGCCGAGUGAGCCCUGCACCGCCCGGUCCUGCAAAGGUCGACGGAGCAGCCGCAGCCGAGCGCACCGGCACGCCUUGCCGGGACCCAAUCACUGGCGAGAACACCCAGCCAACAAAAAAUAGGCGCGAAAUUCCCGUGAUCCGCGGCGGGCUCCGGGUCUCCGCAGCGGCCCGCGCAUCACUAUCCCUUCUCGCCUGAUCUGCGUGAAGACCAACCGUCCGCAGUAGGCGCCUAAUAAAUACUGACUGGGUGAUUGUCUUGGUCGUUUGAUUCAUAGCUCUGUCCUGGGAACCUCAGGGACUGGGUUGGAAUCCCGACCUUCCCUUCUACCAGCCCAGUGAUCUUGUGCAAAUCAUUGACCCACCCUGAGCAUCCGUUUAUCUAAUGAUCCUCUGCAAAAUGGAUAGAAUGGGCUUUAAUUCCCAGGAAUGAUAGACCCAAAUGAAAUACCUAGAUGGAGGCUAAUUGGGUGUGGGGCUGUUAGUACCCAAAGCUCCCAUUUAGGCACAGAUUUUUGAAUAUUUUGUUCUGUAUUUUGUAUUCCAGUGUAGGCCUAGUGGGUGCCCAGUGUUUGUUAACUGAAUCUACAGAUGUUUAUUGAACACCCGUAAUGUGCUAGGCACCAUUCCAAGUCGCUGGGGAAAGAGCAAUAGACAAGGCAGUUUCUGCCUUGGUUGAGGUUCUGUGCCACUGCAGGAGACAAACCACAUGGGUGGCCUUGGGCAAGUUAGUCAACCUUCUUGUGUAUUUGUUCCUUACCUGUAAGAAGAUCCACAGAGGUUAUACAGGUAAAGCACUUAGGACAGCCUUGCACACAAUGUUAAGUAUUAUUAAAUAAAUGCACAGGAUAAUUUUUGCCAGUGGUAAGUGUGAUGGAGAAAAAGAAUGAGCUAAAGAGUGCUCACUGGAUACAGGCCAUUUCUUAUAAUGUAUUUGGUCGCUGAAAACCUCUUAACUUUUUUGUGAUUAAAUUUCAAAUUUACACAUAAAUUUCAAGAAUCGUAAAGAUCAUAUACUUUUCCACUAGAAUAACAAAUUGUUAUAUUUUGCUGCAUAUCCAUAUCCUCUCGUGUAUGUGUAUAUAUACACACAAAUACAUAUUGUGUGUGGAUAUCUAUAUGGUAUAUACCCCAAAAGAAAGGAAAUCAGUAUACGGUAUAUAGAUAUUCACACACACACAUAUAUAAUGUAUAUAUUCUUUUUUACUACAUCAUUUUAGAGUUUCCAACAUCAAACUCCUUUAUCCUAAAUAUAUGUGUGUGUUUCCUUAAAAAAAAGACAUUAUCUGGCAUAAUCUCAGUACAGUGGUCAAAAAUCAGGAAUUUUAACAAUGAUACAAUUGUUUUAUUUAAUACACUCCAUCCAUAUUUAAAUUUUGCUAAUGGUCCCAAUAAUGUCCUUUAUAGCUAUUCCCCAGGAUCCAAUUCAGGAUCAGACGUUGCACUGAGUUGUCAUGCCUCUUUAGUUUCUUUUAAUCUGGAAGGGCAGUUAGUUAUCCAGCCUUUCUUUGUCUUUCAUGACCUUGACAUUUUUGAAGAAUACUGGCGAGUUAUAUUGUAGAAUGUCCCUAAAUUUUUAUUCAUCUGUGUUUUCUUAUUAGUUUCAGAGUAUCCAUUUUUCUCUCCUCCCCCACCCCCCACCAACCCAUCCCUUGCUAUUCUGAGAGGGUAUGCAUUUUUUGGCAGGACUACUGCUGAAAAAAGUUGCCUCCUCAGGGCCUUUCAUCAGGAGGCACAUGGCAUUGUGUUUGUCCCAGUAUUCGUGGUGUUAACUUCCAUCAUUUGGUUGAGGUGGUGUAGGAGUAGUUACACUCUACCAUAAAGUUACGAUUUUUCCUUCUGUAACUAUUAAGUAUUCUGUGGGAAGAUAUUUUGAGACUAUUUAAAUAUCCUCUUCUUUAGACUCUUACCCACUGGUUUCAGAAUUCAUGGUGAUUCUUGCUUGAAACAAUUAUUACAGUUGCAAAAUGGUGAUCAGAAGGUCUUUUUAACCAUAACCUUUUUUCUAUUUCUGUGAAGAAUGUCAUUGGUAUUUUGAUAGGGAUUGCAUUGACUCUUUAGAUUGCUUUGGGUAGUAUGGACAUUUUAACCAAUGUUGAUUCUUCCUAUCCAUGAACAUGAAAUAUCUUUCCAUUUUUUGUGUGUCCUCUUCAAUUUCUUUAAUCAGUGUUUUAUAGUUUUCAUUAUAGAGAUCUUUCAUUUCUUUAAAUUAAUUCCUAGGUAUUUUUAUUUAUGGCUAUUGUAAAUGGGAUUACUUUUUAAAUUUCUUUUUCAGAUUGUUCACUGUUAACAUAUAGAAAUGCUACUGAUUUUUGUAUGUUGAUUUUGUAUCCUGCAACUGUACGGAAUUUGUUUAUCAGUUCUAACAGUUUUUUGGUGGAGUCUUUAGGUUUUUCCAAAUAUAAGAUAUAAUAUGCAAACAAGGAUAAUUUAACUUUUUCCUUUCCUAUUUGGAUGCCCUUUAUUUCUUUCUCUUGCCUGAUUGCUCUAGCUAGUACUUCUAGUACUUCUAGUACUGUGUUGAAUAACAGUGGUGAAAGUGGGCAUCCUUGUUGUAUUCCAGAUCUUAAAGGCUUUCAGUUUUUCCCCAUUCAGUAUGGUACUAGCUGUGGGUUUGUCAUAUAUGGCUUUUAUUAUGUGGGGGUAUUUUCCUUCUAUUCCCAGUUUUUUUUAGGGUUUUUAUCAUGAAACCAUGUUGAAUUUUAUCAAAUGCUUUUUCAGCAUCAAUUGAAAUGAUAGUAUGGUUUUUGUCCUUCAUUCCGACAGCCUUAUUUUAUCUUAAUUACCUCUUUAAAGACCUUAUCUUCAAAUAUAGGCACAUUCUAAGGUACUGGGAAUUAUAACUUCAACAUGAAUUUGGAGUGAGGAGGGACACAAUUCAGUCCAUAAUAGCCUCUUUGGCAUUUGACAUUUGAAUUGAAACCUGAAUGUCAAGAACCCAGCUCUGAAACCGAAUGGGAAGUCAUUCCAAGAAGAAAGAAGAACAAGUACAAAAGCCAUGAGAUGGAUACAAGCUUGUGAAACCAGCCAUGUGGUAAGAUUUUAAAAUGGUACAACCACUUUGGGAAAAAAAAAAAAAACCAGUUUGGCAGUUUCUUAUAAAGUUAAAUAUAUGUCUACCCUGUGGCCCAGCAAUUCCAUGGGUCUCAGGUAAAUGAAAACUUCUGUUAAUAAAGCAACUUGUAUAGGAAUUCACAGUGGCUUUUCCCAUAAGAAUUCCAAACUGGAAAAUGCUGCAGUGUUCAGCAAUAAAUGAAUGGAUAAACAAAUUGUGGUAUUCCCAUACAAUGAAAUGUUGCUGAGGGUGUGUUGAUGGGGGGAGGAAUAAAGUAUUGAUACAACAGCAUGUAUGAAUCAAAAUAAUUAUGCUGAGUGAAAGAGGCCAGGCACAAGAGAGUACCUGCUAGAUGAUUCUAUAUACAAUUCUUAACAAUACAAACUAAUUUGUAGUGACAGAAAGCAGAUCAGUAGUUGGGGUAGGAAGGGUGGAUAGAAAACAAAAGGACAUAAAACUUUUUGGGGUGAUGGGUUAUCUAGACUGUAGUAAUAGUUUCAAGAUAGGAAUAUAUUAAAACACUUCAAAUUGUACCCUUUAUAUUAGGUGUAUUUAUGUAAAUCAGUUUUACAACUUAAUAAAGCUAUAAAAAAAUUGGAAAAGAACACAUACUAUAAUUCCAUUAAUAUAAAGUCAACCAACAAUAGUCUAGAGUGGCAGAAAUCGUAUCAGUGGUUGUUUUUCAGGUGGGAAUUGAUUGCUGAGGGCCACAGGGGAAUUUUCUGGGUGAUGGAAUUUUAUUGUGUGUAAAUUGUACCACGACAAAGUUGAAUUAAAACAUAAAAAAAAAAAAAAAAAAGCCAAAACCCUGUAGCUGCGAACACUUGUGUCUUUACUUAGAAGUUUCUAAGGACAGAAGGCUGCAUUGUGUGGCCCUGGCCCCAUUCCUGUAUCACUGGCUUCGUAGGUUUAGCACAGCCAGCAGUGUCUUUCCUCCUGGCUAGUUUUCCUAUCUGAUUUUGUUUUGUUUUGUUUUCUAAUACACAUAUACAUGUUUUUAUUUUGUUUUUAGGCAUCUUACCUAUUUAUCCAUCUAUUUGAGAGAGGGUCUUGCUCUGUUGCCCAAGCUUGGAGUGCAGUGGCAUGAUCAUGGCACACUGCAGCCUUGACCUCCUGGGCUCAAGUGAUCCUCCCACCUCAGCCUCCUGAGUAGCCGGGACUGUGGGCACAUGCCACUAGGAUUUUACCAUGUUGCCCAGGCUGGUCUCGAACUCCUGGCUCAGCCAUCCUCCCACCUUGGCCUCCCAGAGUGCUGGGAUUACAGGCAUGAGCCACUGCACCCGGCCUAUUUACUUUUUAUAAUUCCAGCUUGUUUUUUUAGAUUUUGGGGUACCUGUGCAGGUUUGUUACAUGCAUAUAUUGUGUGAUGCUAAGGUUUGGGAUACAGUUGAGCCCAUCGUCCAGGUAAUGAGCAUAGUAACCAGUAGCUUUUCCACCCUUGCCCUUCCCUCCCCACCCUAGUAAUACACAGUGUCUACUCCUGUCUUUAUGUCCAUGAGCACCCAUUGUUUACUCCCACAUAUAAGUGAGAACAUGCGGUAUUUGGUUUUUGGUUUUCUGUUCCUGAGUUAAUUUGCUUAGGAUAAUGGCCUCCAGCUGUAUCCCCCACCUGAAUUUUGAGAGAGAUUGAAUAUGAAGUUCUGGGAGGACCACAAGGAGUGUGAAUCCUUUUAUAUGCUGUUAAGAGGGCUGGACUGCUUGAUAAAUCAUUUGAUGCCUUGACCAAAUUUUUAGUUUUUGUUUUUGUCUUGCUUAACUUAUGGAAGUAACCUAUACUUUACUGUUAGGACUAAUAGCCAACAUUUACUAAAGUUUUCUGUCUGCCAGGCACAGGGAUUAACAAAGAAUUACGACAAUUCCAUGAGGUAGUGACUUUCAUUAGCCCCAUUUUACAGAUGAAGAAACCGAAUGUGAAGCUGGCACAGCUGGGUUUCAAACUGAGGCCCCAGACACUCCACAUCUCUUGAUCGCACUCAGCCCCUCCCCAGGCUAAGCAGUGUAAACGUUACAGCGAGCCCUCUUCUACAUCUUUCUUGUUGACAAACAUGCCUGCCUCAGUAUCCCUGGAACCUCAGACAGUACCAAACAUCUGACUGAGCUCAAUAUUUAGUGAUAGAAGAAAUGUAGAAGAGAAGAGCAGCAGUGAGGUUUUUUGUUUGUUUUUUUAAAUGGAGUCUCACUCUGUUGUCCAGGCUGGGGUGCAGUGGCAUGAUCUCGGCUCCCUGCAACCUCUACCUCCUGGAUUCAAAUGAUUCUCCUCCUCAGCCUCCCGAGUAGCUGGGAUUACUGACACCUGCCACCACACCUGGCUAAUUUUGUGUGUGUGUGUGUGUUUUAGUAGAGAUGGGGUUUCAUCAUAUUGGCCAGGCUGGCCUCGAACUCCUGACCUCAAGUGAUCCAUCCACCUUGACCUCCCAAAGUGCUGAGAUUUCAGGCGUGAGCCACCGUAACCGACCAAGCAGUGAGGUUUUCAGCCCUUUUAGCAGGCCAGGGAUGCGGAAGGAAGUCCUUUCUCUGCUGAGCACAGAGAGCUGCAUGGAAUGUCACAUCAUUGGUUGUGCUCUCUACACUCAAGGAGUCGCUGACACUGGCUGAAUAAAGCAAUGGCUACACUUUUACUGUAAGAAAAGUCAUUCAUUUAACAUUUUUUGAACCCUU